CACGCCGUAAACGGUGGGUACUAGGUGUGGGGUUCAUUCCACGAACUCCGUGCCGCAGCUAACGCAUUAAGUACCCCGCCUGGGGAGUACGGCCGCAAGGCUAAAACUCAAAGGAAUUGACGGGGCCCCGCACAAGCGGCGGAGCAUGCGGAUUAAUUCGAUGCAACGCGAAGAACCUUACCUGGGUUUGACAUAUACCGGAAACAUCUAGAGAUAGGUGCCCCUUUAUGGUCGGUAUACAGGUGG
Molecule: ribosomal RNA, 246 nt
Filed under: uncultured Tessaracoccus sp.
Lineage: Bacteria; Bacillati; Actinomycetota; Actinomycetes; Propionibacteriales; Propionibacteriaceae
Description: partial 16S ribosomal RNA
Rfam family: Bacterial small subunit ribosomal RNA
Source: RNAcentral